GCAGUCGAGGGGUAUAGGUUUUCGGACCUAGAGACCGGCGCACGGGUGCGUAACGCGUAUGCAAUCUACCUUUUACAGAGGGAUAGCCCAGAGAAAUUUGGAUUAAUACCUCAUAGUAUUGUUGAAUGGCAUCAUUUAAUAAUUAAAGUCACAACGGUAAAAGAUGAGCAUGCGUCCCAUUAGCUAGUUGGUAAGGUAACGGCUUACCAAGGCAACGAUGGGUAGGGGUCCUGAGAGGGAGAUCCCCCACACUGGUACUGAGACACGGACCAGACUCCUACGGGAGGCAGCAGUGAGGAAUAUUGGUCAAUGGGCGCAAGCCUGAACCAGCCAUGCCGCGUGCAGGAUGACGGUCCUAUGGAUUGUAAACUGCUUUUGUACAGGAAGAAGCAGUUCUACGUGUAGAACCUUGACGGUACUGUAAGAAUAAGGAUCGGCUAACUCCGUGCCAGCAGCCGCGGUAAUACGGAGGAUCCAAGCGUUAUCCGGAAUCAUUGGGUUUAAAGGGUCCGUAGGCGGUUUUGUAAGUCAGUGGUGAAAGCCCAUCGCUCAACGGUGGAACGGCCAUUGAUACUGCAAGACUUGAAUUAUUGGGAAGUAACUAGAAUAUGUAGUGUAGCGGUGAAAUGCUUAGAGAUUACAUGGAAUACCAAUUGCGAAGGCAGGUUACUACCAAUAUAUUGACGCUGAUGGACGAAAGCGUGGGGAGCGAACAGGAUUAGAUACCCUGGUAGUCCACGCCGUANACGAUGGAUACUAGCUGUUCGGAGCAAUCUGAGUGGCUAAGCGAAAGUGAUAAGUAUCCCACCUGGGGAGUACGUUCGCAAGAAUGAAACUCAAAGGAAUUGACGGGGGCCCGCACAAGCGGUGGAGCAUGU
RNAcentral lists this ribosomal RNA (878 nucleotides) under uncultured bacterium. Its description in RNAcentral is "bacterial SSU rRNA". It matches the Rfam family "Bacterial small subunit ribosomal RNA", at positions 57 to 942 of the family's 1533-position model. The record is from RNAcentral.